This 153-nucleotide small nuclear RNA is filed under the name Chinchilla lanigera (long-tailed chinchilla). RNAcentral's name for it is "U4 spliceosomal RNA (ENSCLAG00000021016.1)". The stretch from base 1 to 125 matches the Rfam family "U4 spliceosomal RNA". From Rfam's summary of the family: U4 small nuclear RNA (U4 snRNA) is a component of the major U2-dependent spliceosome. Lineage: Eukaryota; Metazoa; Chordata; Mammalia; Rodentia; Chinchillidae. The record is from RNAcentral.
AGCUUUGAGCAGUGGCAGUAUCUUAACCAAUGAGGUUUCCCAAGGCGUGAUUAUUGCUAAUUGAAAACUUUUCCCAAUACCCUGCCAUGAUAACUUGAAAUAUAACAUAAGAGAUCACGUAAGAUGAUUCUCCCUUCCUAAAUUGUUUAGAAG